UGUUUGAGGAACUCGGCAGGCCUAUCACGUGCAAGACGAACGGUAACAUGAGAGCUUGCUCUUGAUGACGAGUGGCGCACGGGUGCGUAACGCGUAUGCAAUCUACCUAUAACUGAGGGAUAGCCCAGAGAAAUUUGGAUUAAUACCUCAUAAUAAUAUUUUUUGGCAUCAUUAAAUAUUUAAAACUCCGGUGGUUAUAGAUGAGCAUGCGUUCUAUUAGUUUGUUGGUGAGGUAAAAGCUCACCAAGACUACGAUAGAUAGGGGGCCUGAAAGGGUGAUCCCCCACACUGGUACUGAGACACGGACCAGACUCCUACGGGAGGCAGCAGUGAGGAAUAUUGCACAAUGGAGGAAACUCUGAUGCAGCCAUGCCGCGUGCAGGAUGACGGCCCUACGGGUUGUAAACUGCUUUUUUA
RNAcentral lists this ribosomal RNA (417 nucleotides) under uncultured Bacteroidota bacterium. RNAcentral's name for it is "bacterial SSU rRNA". It matches the Rfam family "Bacterial small subunit ribosomal RNA", at positions 39 to 440 of the family's 1533-position model. Lineage: Bacteria; Pseudomonadati; Bacteroidota. The record is from RNAcentral.